UUGGAGGGCAAGUCUGGUGCCAGCAGCCGCGGUAAUUCCAGCUCCAAUAGCGUAUAUUAAAGUUGUUGCAGUUAAAAAGCUCGUAGUUGAAUUUCGGGAUUGACACAUCGGUCGUGCCUUAAGGGGUAUGAACUGGUGUAGUCAAUUUCUCACCUUCUGGAGAACCGCGAUGCCCUUAAUUGGGUGUCGCGGGGAACCAGGACCUUUACUUUGAAAAAAUUAGAGUGUUUAAAGCAGGCAUUUUGCAUGAAUACAUUAGCAUGGAAUGAUAAAAUAGGACGGCAUGAUUCUAUUUUGUUGGUUUCUAGGAUCACCGUAAUGAUUAAUAGGGAUAGUUGGGGGCAUUAGUAUUCAAUUGUCAGAGGUGAAAUUCUUGGAUUUAUUGAAGACUAACUACUGCGAAAGCAUUUGCCAAGGAUGUUUUCAUUAAUCAAGAACGAAGGUUAGGUGAUCGAAGACGAUCAGAUACCGUCGUGGUCUUAACCAUAAACUAUGCCGACUAGGAAUCAGACGAUGUUAAUUUUUUAAUGACUCGUUUGGCACCUUACGGGAAACCAAAGUGUUUGGGUUC
RNAcentral lists this ribosomal RNA (571 nucleotides) under uncultured Glomeromycotina. Its description in RNAcentral is "SSU rRNA". It matches the Rfam family "Eukaryotic small subunit ribosomal RNA", at positions 548 to 1114 of the family's 1831-position model. Lineage: Eukaryota; Fungi; Glomeromycota. The record is from RNAcentral.